GUUUUUUUGUUUUUUUUUUUCUGAAACCUGUUUCAAAAAAUCUGAAGCCUUCUGGGAAUGGAAAGGACUCAGACUAUACGCUCACUGACUGACUGCAGCUGUAACUUCAACUUGCCAAUGUACACCAUUGCUCACAAGAGGACCAGCUGAGAGUGUGAAUGAAUUUAUUGCCAGCCUUUUCCUACUCCUAAAACAAAGCAAUUCUGUAGAUUUGUUACUGAUGAGUCAUAGCACCAUCUUCAUAUACAAAUAACAACAUUUCAUAUGGCACUAUUUUCAAUGUAAAUGAUAGCAGAGAUCAUGAGGAGAUAGUACAAAUUAUCUUGGGCCAUUGUCUUAUUUAUAGAUUAAAGUACAAUUAUGUUUUUCACUGAUUUACCUUCUGACAUCUUAGUUAAUUAAGUUACUUGUUUCUUUUAUGUUCAUUCUCCCCUUAGAUCUGGCACGACUAUUCUUUUCUUUAAUAUUCUUUCCCUUGUUAAAUUGUUAAUUUUUUCUGAGGGGCAGAAUACCUUUUUAUCAUUAUUUUGAGAAUGCUAAGUAUUUACAUAAUUAUCCUUCAGAGAACAUUGGAAGACAAUACUGUUGAACAAAUGGAUAAAUAUUAGAAAAGGAUUACUGGAUAAUUCUGUCAUUUCUGGAAGCCUCAGUGAUUGAUUUAUUCUCUUUUUACCUUAACAUAUUUUUCCUCUAGGUUACUAUUUUUUUCCUGACAGGUUUUCAAGCUUAUAAUUGGUCAUUUUCUCUGUUUAAAAAAAUAUUCUGGGAGUGCGCAAGCGCUCAGAAAAAUAUUAUCUAUUAGCAAACUCAUUAAUUUAAGAACCUAUUAAUAAAUUUGCUCAUUCAUUUAGAAUGAAAAAUAUCUAAUACAGUAUUUAUAUUUAUAUUUAUUUUUUAUAUUUAUAUUUACAUUUAUUUUAUAUUUUAUAUUUAUGGCUUUUAGUCAAUAUAUAACUUCAAAAGAGAAUUUCAAAUCAAAUCUUAUGCCAGUCCAAAAAUCAAAUAACUGAUAUAAACAAAAGAGUAUAGGCCCAACACAAAACAGUAAGACAGAGAUAAUUUGUUAGUUUAGUUAGGUAGUCGAUUAGUCAUCUAUCAUACAAUUACUGAAAGUCUACUUUGUGCCAGGAAUUUCUUCAGAUACAAAGAUGAAUAAGUCAUAGUACAUCCCCUCCAAAAACACCUAUUCUAGCAAGAAAGGUGCUACGUAAAUGCAGAAAAGAAUAUCAACAAUACAAUGUGGUCAGAUCUAUUAUAGAGGUAUGUAGAGUCACUGAGAGACCAUCUAGCCUAAUGGAUAAUACAAUCUGGCAGACAAUGUAUGCUAUUUCUGUUUUGAUUUGGAAUGCAUUCUAAUUGUUGCCAAGCAAUUUUGUUUUAUUAACUUUUGUGUUAAAUUGGCUAAUAUUUAAAUUACUUUAAUUCCUCAUAUACAUACAAUUAAGAGGUAGAAUGAAUGAUACACUUUGAUGAAUGAAAGGGUCACAUAAGAUUAACAUUUGUAAAAAAUUAAUUUGAAAAAUAGAAUUCAAUCCUAAAAUGGAACAGUGACUGCAAAACUAGUGACUGCAAACUUAGAACCAUGUUCCUGGAAACUUAGUAGCAUAAGCCUGGCAUUGACAAUCUGAUUCAUGGUUCUCUUACUAUCUACUCACAUUGCUCCUUUAGGGGAAAUUUGACAAUGAUGUCUGGAAAAUGUAUUGCUACUUUCAAAGAUUCUUGCUAACAUUUGAGCAAAGUGGAAAGCAGUUCUGGCAUUUUGGAUAAAUGUUCCCCAAAUCUUCCUUGCCAGAUAUUUCAUUAAGU
Molecule: long non-coding RNA, 1806 nt
Filed under: Homo sapiens (human)
Lineage: Eukaryota; Metazoa; Chordata; Mammalia; Primates; Hominidae
Description: HSALNT0011303
Source: RNAcentral